This 73-nucleotide transfer RNA is filed under the name Stegodyphus dumicola. Its description in RNAcentral is "tRNA-Val". It matches the Rfam family "tRNA". From Rfam's summary of the family: Transfer RNA (tRNA) molecules are approximately 80 nucleotides in length. The record is from RNAcentral. Lineage: Eukaryota; Metazoa; Arthropoda; Arachnida; Araneae; Eresidae.
GUUUCCGUAGUGUAGUGGUCAUCACGUGCGCUUCACACGUGCAAGGUCCCCGGUUCGAUUCCGGGCGGAAACA